AUUGAACGCUGGCGGCAUGCCUUACACAUGCAAGUCGAACGGCAGCACGGGAGCAAUCCUGGUGGCGAGUGGCGAACGGGUGAGUAAUAUAUCGGAACGUGCCCAGUAGUGGGGGAUAGCCCGGCGAAAGCCGGAUUAAUACCGCAUGAGACCUGAGGGUGAAAGCGGGGGAUCGCAGGACCUCGCGCUACUGGAGCGGCCGAUAUCAGAUUAGCUAGUUGGUGGGGUAAAGGCCUACCAAGGCAACGAUCUGUAGUUGGUCUGAGAGGACGGCCAGCCACACUGGGACUGAGACACGGCCCAGACUCCUACGGGAGGCAGCAGUGGGGAAUUUUGGACAAUGGGCGCAAGCCUGAUCCAGCAAUGCCGCGUGCAGGAAGAA
This 382-nucleotide ribosomal RNA is filed under the name uncultured bacterium. Its description in RNAcentral is "bacterial SSU rRNA". It matches the Rfam family "Bacterial small subunit ribosomal RNA", at positions 29 to 412 of the family's 1533-position model. The record is from RNAcentral.